AGCGAACGCUGGCGGCAGGCCUAACACAUGCAAGUCGAACGAACCUUUCGGGGUUAGUGGCGGACGGGUGAGUAACACGUGGGAACGUGCCUUUAGGUUCGAAAUAACUCAGGGAAACUUGUGCUAAUGCCGAAUGUGCCCUUCGGGGGAAAGAUUUAUCGCCUUUAGAGCGGCCCGCGUCUGAUUAGCUAGUUGGUUGAGGUAAUGGCUCACCAAGGCGACGAUCAGUAGCUGGUCUGAGAGGAUGAUCAGCCACAUUGGGACUGAGACACGGCCCAAACUCCUACGGGAGGCAGCAGUGGGGAAUCUUGCGCAAUGGGCGAAAGCCUGACGCAGCCAUGCCGCGUGAAUGAUGAAGGUCUUAGGAUUGUAAAAUUCUUUCACCGGGGACGAUAAUGACGGUACCCGGAGAAGAAGCCCCGGCUAACUUCGUG
Molecule: ribosomal RNA, 434 nt
Filed under: uncultured bacterium
Lineage: Bacteria
Description: partial 16S ribosomal RNA
Rfam family: Bacterial small subunit ribosomal RNA
Source: RNAcentral